This 325-nucleotide ribosomal RNA is filed under the name uncultured eukaryote. Its description in RNAcentral is "partial 18S ribosomal RNA". It matches the Rfam family "Eukaryotic small subunit ribosomal RNA", at positions 1470 to 1796 of the family's 1831-position model. The record is from RNAcentral.
CCCUUAGAUGUUCUGGGCCGCACGCGCGCUACACUGAUGCAUUCAACGAGCCUAUCCUUGACCGACAGGUCCGGGUAAUCUUUGAAUCUGCAUCGUGACGGGGAUAGAUUAUUGCAAUUAUUAAUCUUCAACGAGGAAUGCCUAGUAGGCGCAAGUCAUCAGCUUGCGUCGAUUACGUCCCUGCCCUUUGUACACACCGCCCGUCGCUCCUACCGAUUGGGUGUGCUGGUGAAAUGUUAGGAUCGGCCGUUUGUCGCGGUUUCCGCGGCUCGUGGCUGAGAAGUUCAUUAAACCCUCCCACCGAGAGGAAGGAGAAGUCGUAACA